UACGGAGGGUGCAAGCGUUAUCCGGAUUCACUGGGUUUAAAGGGUGCGUAGGUGGGUUGGUAAGUCAGUGGUGAAAUCUCCGGGCUUAACUCGGAAACUGCCGUUGAUACUAUCAAUCUUGAAUAUCGCGUAGGUAAGCGGAAUAUGUCAUGUAGCGGUGAAAUGCUUAGAUAUGACAUAGAACACCAAUUGCGAAGGCAGCUUACUUCACGAUCAUUGACGCUGAGGCACGAAAGCGUGGGGAGCAAACAGG
RNAcentral lists this ribosomal RNA (253 nucleotides) under uncultured bacterium. Its description in RNAcentral is "partial 16S ribosomal RNA". It matches the Rfam family "Bacterial small subunit ribosomal RNA", at positions 524 to 776 of the family's 1533-position model. The record is from RNAcentral.